UGGGGAAUAUUGCACAAUGGGCGCAAGCCUGAUGCAGCCAUGCCGCGUGUAUGAAGAAGGCCUUCGGGUUGUAAAGUACUUUCAGCGGGGAGGAAGGUGUUGAGGUUAAUAACCUCAGCAAUUGACGUUACCCGCAGAAGAAGCACCGGCUAACUCCGUGCCAGCAGCCGCGGUAAUACGGAGGGUGCAAGCGUUAAUCGGAAUUACUGGGCGUAAAGCGCACGCAGGCGGUCUGUCAAGUCGGAUGUGAAAUCCCCGGUCUCAACCUGGGAACUGCAUUCGAAACUGGCAGGCUAGAGUCUUGUAGAGGGGGGUAGAAUUCCAGGUGUAGCGGUGAAAUGCGUAGAGAUCUGGAGGAAUACCGGUGGCGAAGGCGGCCCCCUGGACAAAGACUGACGCUCAGGUGCGAAAGCGUGGGGAGCAAACA
This 427-nucleotide ribosomal RNA is filed under the name uncultured bacterium. Its description in RNAcentral is "partial 16S ribosomal RNA". It matches the Rfam family "Bacterial small subunit ribosomal RNA", at positions 355 to 774 of the family's 1533-position model. The record is from RNAcentral.